This 490-nucleotide ribosomal RNA is filed under the name uncultured bacterium. RNAcentral describes it as "partial 16S ribosomal RNA". It matches the Rfam family "Bacterial small subunit ribosomal RNA", at positions 28 to 507 of the family's 1533-position model. The record is from RNAcentral.
GAUGAACGCUCGCGAUAGGCUUAACACAUGCAAGUCGAGGGGCAGCAUGGUCUUAGCUUGCUAAGGCUGAUGGCGACCGGCGCACGGGUGCGUAACGCGUAUGCAACUUGCCUCACAGAGGGGGAUAGCCCGUCGAAAGACGGACUAAUACCGCGUACACUCUAUGUUGGGCAUCCAAUGUAGAGGAAAUGAAAUUCGCUGUGAGAUAGGCAUGCGUCCCAUUAGCUAGUUGGUGAGGUAACGGCUCACCAAGGCGACGAUGGGUAGGGGAACUGAGAGGUUGAACCCCCACACUGGUACUGAGACACGGACCAGACUCCUACGGGAGGCAGCAGUGAGGAAUAUUGGUCAAUGGGCGAGAGCCUGAACCAGCCAAGUCGCGUGAAGGAUGACUGUCUUAUGGAUUGUAAACUUCUUUUAUACGGGAAUAACAAGAGUCACGUGUGGCUCCCUGCAUGUACCGUAUGAAUAAGCAUCGGCUAACUCCGUG